Molecule: non-coding RNA, 254 nt
Filed under: Niallia circulans
Lineage: Bacteria; Bacillati; Bacillota; Bacilli; Caryophanales; Bacillaceae
Description: Bacillus circulans T-box sequence
Rfam family: T-box leader
About the family: Uncharged tRNA acts as the effector for transcription antitermination of genes in the T-box leader family. T-boxes are found upstream of many aminoacyl-tRNA synthetase genes and some amino acid biosynthetic genes usually in Gram-positive bacteria.
Source: RNAcentral
AGUAAUUCGAUGAAGAGGAUAAGUAGUUUUCUAUUUGGAUUCCAAAGAGAGCCGGUGGUUGGUGUAAAUCGGUGAACCAAUAGUUAAUGAACUCACCUCAGAGUGUUAGCUUGAAAGGUCUCCCUAUUAGAGCUAACCGAGUGUUUCCACUCGUUAUCAAAAGAGAACGAACCGUUCAUAAAGUGCAUACACUUAUCCGUUAGUGUAUGAAUGAGGGUGGUACCGUGGAAAGGAAAUGCCUUUUCACCCCUUUG